This 466-nucleotide ribosomal RNA is filed under the name uncultured bacterium. RNAcentral describes it as "bacterial SSU rRNA". It matches the Rfam family "Bacterial small subunit ribosomal RNA", at positions 28 to 491 of the family's 1533-position model. The record is from RNAcentral.
GACGAACGCUGGCGGCGUGCUUAACACAUGCAAGUCGAGCGGUAAGGCCCUUUCGGGGGUACACGAGCGGCGAACGGGUGAGUAACACGUGGGUGACCUGCCCUCAGCUCUGGGAUAAGCCUGGGAAACCGGGUCUAAUACCGGAUAUGACUCCAUGACGCAUGUUGUGGGGUGGAAAGCCUUGUGCGGCUGAGGAUGGGCCCGCGGCCUAUCAGCUUGUUGGUGGGGUGAUGGCCUACCAAGGCAACGAUCAGUAUCCGGCCUGAGAGGGCGGACGGACACACUGGGACUGAGACACGGCCCAGACUCCUACGGGAGGCAGCAGUGGGGAAUUGUUCGCAAUGGGCGCAAGCCUGACGACGCAACGCCGCGUGGAGGAUGAAGGUCUCGGAUUGUAAACUCUGUUGCCCGGGACGAAUGGCUCCAACCUAACACGUCGGAGUGUGACGGUACCGGGUGAGGAACG